ACGGUUCCACUCUCUCCCUCGUUUUCCGCGCUUUCCUUCCUCCCCACAAGUUUCUGAUUCCUGGAACCAGGCUCGGUGACCUCACGUCAGUGACUUCACAUCCGGGACCUUCUGGGAAUUCUCAGCGGCACUUUUUCACCUUGGGCCUGCCUGGGGCUUCCCUGAGAGGAAGUCCUGAAGCCUGAGGAGCUCCACACCUGUAUUUUUAAAAAUGGGAGCUCCAGGCCACCUACUCCUGAAAGCCUUUCUGAAUGAUGCCGGACUGGGGACUGGAGGCCCCUGAGGGCAGGCCUGGGCCCUCUUCUCUGCUCCUGGCCUGGACACUUCUGAGGAGAGAGAGAGAGCAUGAGCCGGGUGAGGGCCAGAAGGAGAGGGAGACAAGCAGACUCCCCGCUCAGUGCUCAACCCUAGGACCCUGAGAUCAUGACCUAAGCCGAAGGCAGACACUUAACGGACUGAGCCACCCAGGCGCCCCUAUCAGAGUAUCUUUGGUGGAGACAUUGCACAGCUCUCUCUUUCAGCUCCCUCAAACCAUCUUGGGAAUGAGGCUGGGAAUAAAUAAAUACACGGAGGUUGAAUGGCUAUACUGAUUCAACGUCAAAAGGCAGAAGGACCUUGGGGGAGGGGUGGUGGUUUCCAGGGAUGCUAAUGCCUCCUUCUGGAGCCCACUGCUCCUCAGGUUUAAGGGUGCCUUCCCCAGUCAGCCCCUCCCUCCACGUGGGGCUCCACCAAAGCUGGGGGUUGGUCAGACGUUCACAGUCUCCCUGCAGAGCCGGCACGCUAUGGCAGAGCUCAGAGUCAGUAGCUGGAGGCCCACUCGGUGGAAGCUUCAGGAGAGACAGGGUCCAGGAAGGAUUACGGGCCAGACUGCCUGAGUGUAAAUCCUACCUGUGACACUCACUAGCUGUGUGACCUUGAAGAUCCUUACCCCUUUUAUCCUCAGUUUCCUCAUCUGUAAGAUGGGGAUAGUAAUUGUGCAUACCUCAAAGGGCUGCUGUGAAGAGUAUACAGAUCUCUCUCUCUCUCUCUCUCUCUCUCUCUCACACACACACACACACACACACACACACACACACACACACAAAUGGUGCAUUCGGAGCAGGGUCUGGCACACUAUAAGCUCAAUAAAUGAGUAAGGUCAUUAAGUUUUCCUGGAUCCCUGCCACCCCCAGGUUCUCCAGGUUCCAGAUCCCAGUGUGUCCUCUUGGUCUGAAGACAAGUGUCCUUCAAGGCUCUGGCUGGCAGUCCUGGCUUCCCUCUAGCUGGGAAGCAGACACUGGUGCCAAGGGCCAGCUCUGAGCGAGCCAGGCUGGGUCUGUUCCAGGCCUGCGGGGACAGGUCUGCUCAGCCUCUUGAUAAAACCAUCUGACCCAGAACAGGGAUUUUCUGCUCUGGGGGGGCUCUGAGGGUGGGCACAGUGGGGGAGAGUCUCUACCCUCCUGCCAGAGGAGCGCGGCUACCACCUGAGAGGCGGUAGAACGUGCUUUUGAAAGCACGGGGUCCGGUGUCAGACUGCUGGGAUCAGAUCGCCAGCCUGUCGCUUCCUAUUUAUAUGCCCUCUGAGCGUCUUUCAGGUCUCUGCACCCUAGAGUCCUAGCUCGGGAUCUUCCAAGCAUCAGCACCCCCAUCCUGCUCCCAGUGGAACAUCUGGGAGCAAGUGACUUCACUGGGAGGGGAGGAAUGUGGUGAGGGAGUAAAGUGAGUUGGGGGCAGGAGGACAGGAGGUUACUAGUGUGGACAGCUGGGGCUUGAUCCCAUGGGGAGCCUCUGAGAGCUAGGGUAGAACGUGUGUCACCAGGGCAAGGAAGCUGGGGGGGUUCACCCACCAUCGUCACCCCCGACCUGGACGGAAGCACCGGCUCUCCUAUCCUUCCAGCCUGCCCCACAGACAGAGAGAUACAAGGGUUUAAGGUGGGAAUCUGUGAGUCUGUAAGGGACUGUCCCCUGAAGUGGAGUGGGGGGGGCAGGGGCCAGUAUGUGUGUGCCCAUUUUACAGGUCAGGAAAUGAAGGCUCAAAGAAGUUAGGUCAACAUAUGAGUGAUGGGCUCAGCAAGGACUAGAACUCAGGCUUCCUGCCCCGAUCAGGGUGGUCUGGCCCCUGGGGAUGCUUUGUGAGGAGGGAUGUGGUGGGGAUGAGACAGACCUGGGUCUCACUAAGGACGUGGCUGUCACCUGACAGAACAGCAGGAAGCCUGGAGGCGACUGCCUCUUAAUCCUUGGGCUUGGAGAACUGCUGUCAGUCCUGCACACAUUCCAGGGACCCCAGAGCGCUUGUGGCCGGGAGGGGUGCAGUUGGCAGCUUCCUGGGACAGGGGCCCUGCCCUUUGACCCUGUUAGCAUCCUGCUGGCGAAUUUCCCCUCCUCCCUUUCUUCCCCAGUACAAAUUACGCCCUGCUGGGAGCCAGAUCCUAGCUGUGGAGCCUGUCGUGGGAGCCCACAGUUCAGUAGGAAAGGGACCUGGUGAGGACAGAUGUACCAGCUUGGCGUUGAGGGGCCCAGGGAGGGAGAAGCACACUCCAAGUGGGGGCCCCUGGGGUGGUUUCAUGAAGGAUGUAGCCUUUGAGCUGAGUCCCCCAAAUGAGGAGGCUCUUGAGGAGAGGAGAUGGUGGGUAUUAAGAGCUGAAUUGUGUCCCUCUCAAAUUCAUAUGCCGAAGCCUUAACUCCCAGACCUCAGAAUGUAACUGUGUUUGGAGAGAGGGCCUUUAAAGAAGCAAUUAAGGUAAAAUGAGGCCAAGAGGGUAGGUUCUUAAUCCAAUAGGACUGAUGUGCUUUAUAAGAAGAGAAAGGCACCAGGGAUGUGUGCUCACAGAGGAAA
Molecule: long non-coding RNA, 2815 nt
Organism: Ailuropoda melanoleuca (giant panda)
Lineage: Eukaryota; Metazoa; Chordata; Mammalia; Carnivora; Ursidae
Exons: 4
Source: RefSeq, a predicted model, not a curated record